AGGUUCUUUAAUUUUUCUGGUUUCCCUGGAGUGGUGAGGUUCUGGCAAGGAAAUUCCUUAUAGAUUUGAGUCUUUGGUUUAUGAGAAUUUUCCCAUUUCCAGUAAGGUAGUUUGUAUUCUUGCCAUCGAAACCUUUGUAAUAAUUCAGUGGUCCUCAGAAGCACUGCUUAGCCACGUAACAUGGAGUUUAAGAGUACGACUUUGUGGCGUAGUGCUAUUUUUAUGCCCCACCCAUUUCAUUUUCCUUUUGUUUUAUAACCCUUUCAGGUUCAGUGAAUAGUGCUAACCAUGAUAUGGAGCCAGUCAGCUCUCGCUGUAUAGAGACCAAGUUGCAGCCGAGACAACCGGGAGAGUGAGAGAAUUCUUUUUAGUUGCUGCCUCCAGAUUGACUCUGACUCAGCAACUUCAACAGUUGUUUCAGUUGUAAAGCGAUGGCUGCCUCGCCGGAAGCCAUAGUUCCGGCCACGCCCCCAACUAGGGAGAAAUGCUGUAAUCGCAAACCUGAGUAAUGGCCGCCAUGCUGAAAGACAUAGUUCGGACAGAAGGAGGGAUGCUGUAAUCCGGAACCAGAGAUAAUACUGCCACGCUGGAAGCCAUAGUUCCAGUAAAGUUCACAGCCAGGGUGAAAUGCUGUAAGGAGUUGUACCACUCGCAGUGGGGAGCAUGAAGUUGGUGGUAAACCAGUUGGAUAAGCAGCAGCAGACUGUUUCUACUAUCAUCGCAGAGACCUUGCAAUGUGGACUGGACUCGCAAGGUAACGGGUAUCGCAGCUCACAGGCUGACCCUCUUUGCCUUUUACCUCGAGUGGAGGAAUGUGUACCCAACAUCUGUGGAGUAGUUCAGCCCGAGCAUUAUGCAGAUGGAGACCUGUCCCAACUGUUGGAGUCGGGAUGAGCAUUUCCAGUUGACGAAACGAGAUUGAACCUGGCAGAAAUCAUCGACGCUGUGGAGUAUCUGCAGAAAAUAAGAGUCGUACACCGAGGCCACUUUGCUGUCGCAGAUAUGGUUUAUGCAAACAAUUUGUCAGCUCUGAAGAGGGUGAUCGUGCGUAUUCGCAGUGUGGCACAAGUCAGUACAUGGCGCCAGAGAUAUUCAUCGGCGAAGGCUACAGCCAUAAAUUGGACUGGUGGAGUGUCGGUGUAAUGAUGAUCGGGUGCAGCCCCUUUCCAUAUAACGAAUAUAGAAAUGAAGAAGAACUCCGUAGUAGCCCCCAUCAGGCGUAGCCUGACGUUGAAUCUAGAAGCUACGUCGUCGCCCAAACAGAGACUUGGCUUGUCAUUAAAUCUUGGAGGAACAUCUUUCAUAUCUGCCCUAGGAGACUCUGUUGAUGUGCAACUCCCCCUAGAAUGCCAGGGUGAACAGCUUCGCCCAGAAUUUCUUGCUCCCGAAGAAUAAUCGUGUGAUAGCCUGCCAUCAUCUCCAGCAAUGGUUGAGGUCAGUGGUACAACCAUGGCAGAAGCUGGCUCACUAGCAUUUCCCACAUCAUCACCAGCACCAUCUGCAACAUCUGGGGACUCCAACUCCCACCAUUUAGCACCUGAACAAGAUCGGCAGUCUCAAUCAGGAGAUUAACAAGCAGACUGAGCAGAUGUGUCAUUUGUUGGCAAUUUGUUUCGUCCUUCAUCCUCAAUGCAUUUAUGAAUCAAUACAUCAGGUGUUAAGAUAGAACUACCAUGAGAAGAUGCAGUACAGAGAACUAAGUGUGUACGCCGUCCUGACCCGAGUGAUGACCGAGAUGUAAUUGCUCGACAUGCUGAAAUAUAUCCAAAAGAAGAUGAACUGCAAGCUGUUCAGCGUAUAGCGUCACACACUGAGAAGGCACUGAAGUUUGUGUCGGACCAUUUGCCUGACUUGGCUGACUUUGCGGCAAAACAGGCAACUGCUGCUAAGCCUGUGGUUGGUGCAGGGGCUAAACCUGUCGGUGUGGGGACCGAGGUUGUAAAUCCACCUGUUAAAAGUGGCACAGCAGGUAAACCUAUUCCUGGAAUUGAAACCUGCUGUUGGAACCAAGAUCAUUGCUGGAAACUCACCUGCAGUUAAGCCUGCAGGCCAAGGUCCAGUAAAAACUUAACCCAUAGAGAAGGUUAAACCAGAUGCAGUUAAA
Non-coding RNA from Zootermopsis nevadensis, 2104 nucleotides. The record is from RefSeq and is a predicted model, not a curated record. NCBI's taxonomy places the organism in Eukaryota, Metazoa, Arthropoda, Insecta, Blattodea, Termopsidae.